GGGCGUUAAGUUGCAGGGUAUAGACCCGAAACCCGGUGAUCUAGCCAUGGGCAGGUUGAAGGUUGGGUAACACUAACUGGAGGACCGAACCGACUAAUGUUGAAAAAUUAGCGGAUGACCUGUGGCUGGGGGUGAAAGGCCAAUCAAACCGGGAGAUAGCUGGUUCUCCCCGAAAGCUAUUUAGGUAGCGCCUCGUGAACUCAUCUCCGGGGGUAGAGCACUGUUUCGGCUAGGGGGCCAUCCCGGCUUACCAACCCGAUGCAAACUGCGAAUACCGGAGAAUGUUAUCACGGGAGACACACGGCGGGUGCUAACGUCCGUCGUGAAGAGGGAAACAACCCAGACCGCCAGCUAAGGUCCCAAAGUCAUGGUUAAGUGGGAAACGAUGUGGGAAGGCCCAGACAGCCAGGAUGUUGGCUUAGAAGCAGCCAUCAUUUAAAGAAAGCGUAAUAGCUCACUGGUCGAGUCGGCCUGCGCGGAAGAUGUAACGGGGCUAAACCAUGCACCGAAGCUGCGGCAGCGACACUGUGUGUUGUUGGGUAGGGGAGCGUUCUGUAAGCCGUUGAAGGUGUGUCGUGAGGCAUGCUGGAGGUAUCAGAAGUGCGAAUGCUGACAUAAGUAACGAUAAAGCGGGUGAAAAGCCCGCUCGCCGGAAGACCAAGGGUUCCUGUCCAACGUUAAUCGGGGCAGGGUGAGUCGACCCCUAAGGCGAGGCCGAAAGGCGUAGUCGAUGGGAAACGGGUUAAUAUUCCCGUACUUGGUGUUACUGCGAAGGGGGGACGGAGAAGGCUAUGUUGGCCGGGCGACGGUAGUCCCGGUUUAAGCGUGUAGGUGUGUGUUCCAGGUAAAUCCGGUUCACUUUAACACUGAGGCGUGAUGACGAGGCACCACGGUGCUGAAGCAACAAAUGCCCUGCUUCCAGGAAAAGCCUCUAAGCAUCAGGUAACAUCAAAUCGUACCCCAAACCGACACAGGUGGUCAGGUAGAGAAUACCAAGGCGCUUGAGAGAACUCGGGUGAAGGAACUAGGCAAAAUGGUGCCGUAACUUCGGGAGAAGGCACGCUGACACGUAGGUGAAGUGAUUUACUCAUGGAGCUGAAGUCAGUCGAAGAUACCAGCUGGCUGCAACUGUUUAUUAAAAACACAGCACUGUGCAAACACGAAAGUGGACGUAUACGGUGUGACGCCUGCCCGGUGCCGGAAGGUUAAUUGAUGGGGUCAGCGCAAGCGAAGCUCCUGAUCGAAGCCCCGGUAAACGGCGGCCGUAACUAUAACGGUCCUAAGGUAGCGAAAUUCCUUGUCGGGUAAGUUCCGACCUGCACGAAUGGCGUAAUGAUGGCCAGGCUGUCUCCACCCGAGACUCAGUGAAAUUGAACUCGCUGUGAAGAUGCAGUGUACCCGCGGCAAGACGGAAAGACCCCGUGAACCUUUACUAUAGCUUGACACUGAACAUUGAGCCUUGAUGUGUAGGAUAGGUGGGAGGCUUUGAAGCGUGGACGCCAGUCUGCGUGGAGCCGACCUUGAAAUACCACCCUUUAAUGUUUGAUGUUCUAACGUGGACCCGUAAUCCGGGUUGCGGACAGUGUCUGGUGGGUAGUUUGACUGGGGCGGUCUCCUCCUAAAGAGUAACGGAGGAGCACGAAGGUUGGCUAAUCCUGGUCGGACAUCAGGAGGUUAGUGCAAUGGCAUAAGCCAGCUUGACUGCGAGCGUGACGGCGCGAGCAGGUGCGAAAGCAGGUCAUAGUGAUCCGGUGGUUCUGAAUGGAAGGGCCAUCGCUCAACGGAUAAAAGGUACUCCGGGGAUAACAGGCUGAUACCGCCCAAGAGUUCAUAUCGACGGCGGUGUUUGGCACCUCGAUGUCGGCUCAUCACAUCCUGGGGCUGAAGUAGGUCCCAAGGGUAUGGCUGUUCGCCAUUUAAAGUGGUACGCGAGCUGGGUUUAGAACGUCGUGAGACAGUUCGGUCCCUAUCUGCCGUGGGCGCUGGAAGACUGAGGGGGGCUGCUCCUAGUACGAGAGGACCGGAGUGGACGCAUCACUGGUGUUCGGGUUGUCAUGCCAAUGGCACUGCCCGGUAGCUAAAUGCGGAAAAGAUAAGUGCUGAAAGCAUCUAAGCACGAAACUUGCCCCGAGAUGAGUCUUCCCUGAGACUUUGAGUCUCCUGAAGGAACGUUAAAGACGAUGACGUUGAUAGGCCGGGUGUGUAAGCGCAGCGAUGCGUUGAGCUAACCGGUACUAAUGAACCGUGAGGCUUAACCUUACAACGCCGAAGCUGUU
RNAcentral lists this ribosomal RNA (2276 nucleotides) under Salmonella enterica subsp. diarizonae serovar Rough:r:z. Its description in RNAcentral is "bacterial LSU rRNA". It matches the Rfam family "Bacterial large subunit ribosomal RNA", at positions 690 to 2925 of the family's 2925-position model. The record is from RNAcentral. Lineage: Bacteria; Pseudomonadati; Pseudomonadota; Gammaproteobacteria; Enterobacterales; Enterobacteriaceae.